ACACACUGGGCCAUGCACUUUUCCUUUCUGUCCCCCUCUAUGAAGCGGAGUGUGGAUGCAACUGUCACCAGUUGUACAGAGCCAUCCAAGGCAGUGACAGCAAAUGAGUGGCAACAGUACUGGCAACUCAGAUUGAGAGACGCUGCCAAGAGUGGCGGAUUGAAAAGGCUAUGCCAAGAGCACAGAAUCAAUCAGAACCUGUGAGGAGCCUCUUCCCUCCAAGAUGAUGGCCAACAAAUACUCCCAAGCUUAGAAGUGGUGUCUUUCAUAUUUAAUGAAAUACACGAUCUCUGAGCCUCAUAAAAUUUGAGGCCCCUGCUCCAGUGCAAAGGAGGGUGUUCCAUAUGGUCUUUGCGGUUACAUAUACUGAAUGUCUGAUAAGCUGCUGACAUAUCUGCAAAUAGUCACCAACCAAACAAGGGUAA
RNAcentral lists this long non-coding RNA (425 nucleotides) under Capra hircus (goat). Its description in RNAcentral is "lncRNA (ENSCHIG00010016552.1)". The record is from RNAcentral. Lineage: Eukaryota; Metazoa; Chordata; Mammalia; Artiodactyla; Bovidae.